Long non-coding RNA from Fukomys damarensis (Damara mole-rat), 4149 nucleotides. RefSeq lists it as uncharacterized. The record is from RefSeq and is a predicted model, not a curated record. NCBI's taxonomy places the organism in Eukaryota, Metazoa, Chordata, Mammalia, Rodentia, Bathyergidae. The transcript has 4 exons.
CUGAAUAUAUUUCUGUAAUACUUGGUAGCUAUAUAGCUACCAUAAAUUGCUCUUAUUCUCUUAUAUUUGGAUUUUCAGGUUUGUCAUAAAUGAUUAUCAAGGAAUACGUUGUCACUAAAGCAGCCUAAGCGUCUUGUCCUUUCCUUGGGACAAAGUGUUUGGUCACUGGUGUGCAUAUUUUUGUCAAGACCUUUGAUAUGGAUUGCCAGAUUGCUCUCUGAUUUUUGCCCCAUCUGCUAUGUACAAGUCUCAUAUCCAUACCCUUGCCAAUACUGGAUGCUCCUUUUCCAGAAUGCCUUUUUAUGCUAGUAGUUUUGACAAAUAACCAGGAGGUCUGUUUUCUAAGCAUUAUGGUUUCCCAUGCUUGUGAGUUCACGCAUUGCUGGUAUGUAUGUAUAUGUGUAUGUAUGUGUAGUUUUGCUAAAUAGGAGUAUAUCCUGUAUCCACAGAGAAAUCUACUUCCUGAAAGCUCUAAGGUAAAGUGAUCAGCUGAACAGUUUAUGUGGAAAAAGAAAUGGUGGCCUCAGGUAGCGGCUAAUGUGCUGAGUCAUUCCAGCUACACACAGGACAUCUCCAGCAGCACCCCACACUGCACCUUCUCACUCUGCACUGUCCCUGCUCCUUUUGGACUCAUCUGGGUGACUCUGUCACUACACUGACACCCGGCAGUCACUCUAGUCUCCUUCCCCAUUACUGUGUUCAUGCAUCCCCCACCAUCUAAUUCAGCCCAGCAUUGCCUUCACUACCACACCUGAACUUGGACUUGCUUCUCCUGUGAAUGUGAGUGGUUUCCCCCAGCCUAGGACUUUUUGGGACUGUUUACAUGGGGAUGUUAGCUUCUGUGGGAUACUUGGCUAUAAAAAGCCAGAGCUGCUAAUAGCUACAUGAUAUUUGAUUGAGUUCUCAUGUAGCUCUGUGCUUUUAUCUGUACGCUAUUUACCUAAGCAAAAUUAGUAAUACACAUGUUGAAGUGUUCUUUCACAGGACUCUCCAGGGCAAGCAGAGGAAGCUGCAAGGUGGUGGGGCAGCAGUGGAAUCGACACCAAGCCGCUUGCAGGGCUGUGCCACGAAGACGGUCAGCUUGGCCCUGAGUAGACACUAAUAAGCCCUGCUUCCGUCCUGCUGUCACAGCGGCAUCCUUCCUUCCACUCCUCACAGCUUGACUGCUCCUCAAUAACUGGAAAUGCAGCAAAUUGGAGCUCUUUCUCCUGCCUGGUCUCAGGUCUCAGGAGAGGCAACUGAGGUGCGAGAUUUCACACAUAGGUGUCAGAGAUAGGCCACCAUCUCCUCAGCUCAGAUGAAUGGAUAGAGGAAGUUGGGCUAAGGUUUUUAUCCACAGGGAGAGGAGGAGCACAGAAUAGCAUGGAGAUGAAAUGACACGGAAUCCCCUGAUCUACUGUCACCGCUGCACACUUAAGGCGAGGUGGAGAUUUGAGGAGAAUGAGAGCACCCCCCUCCCAUGUCCUUUGGAGCUAGCUUUGAAUAAAUCUUCCCUUUCCAUCAAAAUAAAUGGCCUCCCACAUUUCUUGGAGAGCAAGUAGUGCAGACCUGCAUGACAGGAGCAUCCCCACAUCCAGCCUGCAGUGCUAGAAAGAGCAAAAUCCCAAGAACUGUACUGGGUUUCACAAUGAACCUCAUCUACCUUAAUCUCUGUCAGAAACACCUGUCACUCUGGUUCUUCUACCUAUGCCUUUUCAUACCACUAGAUUCCUGAAAGUCUGGAGGGGGAGAGCAGUGUCCCUGUGAAAAGGUAGCAUUUUCAUGACCUUAUAGGACAUUGCCUACCCUCUGUCUUCGCUAACAGCCUCCAGAGGGUCAGAAGACACCAGUGUCACUGACCGGUCAGCCCAGGACAUGACUCAACCAUAUUGGUGAAAGAAAAAGGAAAUGAAACAUGGUUAGCCACAAGGACUACUCUUCAGAGGCCUCCUCAGGCUAUAGACAGCCCCAAUGAUGCUGGCCCUCACCAGGCACUACCUCUCCAUGCCAUCUCUGCACUCUGCUACCUGAGUCAUGUUCAUCUCCAGCUGCUUCCUCAGCCAGCAGGGAACCUGCGAAUGUGGUUUGGAUGUAACUCAAAACUGGCUGGGAGCUGUGCCUUAUCACUGUGGGUCCCAGUGCCCAUGGCCCAGAAGGUGUGAACAACAAAACCCACUGGGAAAAGAAGUCACAGUCCUUCCUGCUUCUUCACAACAUUCAGCACUGACUGGGAAAAGACCAGCCAUGAAAUCACGUCUGACCUACUUCCUACUGCCCUCAAACCAGAGAGCAGGCUAUCACAGAACUUUAGGUGGAAAGAAGAAUGUUUUCAUGGUCUCAGCUGGUACUGAAGUCUGAGAGACAGCGAGCAGUGUGCUCCUGGGGUGAAGAGGACCGACUCAGGCGCCUUGGGUGCCAGGAAUGUGGACUGAGUGAGUCUGAGCCGAGCCGCAGCUCUGUAGUCUUUAAGGAAGAAUGAAUGCUUGGGCUGCCUCACAGCUUGUCCUUGGCCUUCUGUACCCCGCUCCCCUCCAGGCCAGUCACACAGAGUGCUACACUCUCACUGCUCGCUGCCAUGCGUCUCUGCUGCUGGUCACCUUGACACACAGACAAGGCCAAGUGCCCCACUGUGAGGUCACCAGGGCGCUCCCACUGCGUGAAGUAAGUGAGUGGGUGAGUCCUGAGCAUUGCACCCCUGCUUCCUCUUCAGACAGAUCCAGAUCAAAGUCACACAAACAAGACCUCCAUUUGCAAAGAAAAUCUUUGAAGGACAAGAACAAAAGAAAGCCAUCUGCUACUAUUCCCAGCAACCUGGGUAGAAGCCACAGGCCAGCAGCCUGGGUAGACCCGAUGCUGAUCACACCCGUCCCUGUUAGCAUAUUAUGUAAUCCACUGUCCCCACCAGCUCGAAUAUGAGCUCAGUGGUGACAGAGGACUUUCUGCAGCAUUUUGUGUCCCAGAGCCUAGAACAAUGAUGUAAGUGUAUAGUAAAUAUUUGUUGAUUGAACAGGUGAAUGAGAAACUACAGUGAUACGAUUACAUUACAUGUUUAAGCAAAGCCAUUGUGGGAAGUUCUUGCCAAGGUUUUGAAAUAGUUGGAGAAAAAGCUUCAAUCAAUAAAAUGAAUCCUAGGAGUUGACAGUUUUUGCCAAUAAAACAGCGGCCACAGUGUUACCAAGCUGAUAUUCACAACGGAGCCAAACCAUGACUUGGCUUUUUACUUCACUGCCUCCACUAAAAACUCCCUUCCUGGCCCAGAAAUGGUUCUUUGUUGGGAGGCACACAGGGAAGGUGGUGAAUCCAUCAGCUAUAAUAUACUUUGAGGUGUCUGGAGACCCACCUUCCCUCAGCAGCAGAGCUCUGAAAGUUUCCAACCACACCUGGCUGCAGAACAGUGAAGAGCCAGGCUGGGUAGGGAGAAAGCAGGCAGAGUGCAGAAAAGGACAGGUACAGAGGGAUAUGGGGAAGUGGAUGUGGGUGGGCUGUAGCCUUGGCCAUUUGCAUAAAGGCAGGGUGGGCUCCAGAGGUAGCCUGAGCUUGGGGCAUGGGAAGGUUGCCAGCUGGCACCAGCGCUGUGAGCAGAGGAAAGGCUGCAGCCAUAAGUACAAUUCAAAGAGCCGUCCAAGCAGAGGCCAUAGGCUUUCUGCUUCCAGGAGAGGUACGGCACGUUUAGGGAUGUGCGUUCAGGUCUGGGUUCACCCCUCUCAUGGAUGCAGAGCAGUAGGUACCACGCUUGCCCACUAGUUAACACUGACCUGUGUGCUGACCCCUCUUUUCCUAAUUUUUAUCAUUGUCUACAGCUGACAUCCUUUGAGUGGUCCUAAUAGCUAUCUGUGAGGUUAUCAACCUUUUCUCUUUCAUAGUAUCCCAAGGCAGACAGCCAGAUACUAUGAAGACCAUGAGGAGGACACACUGCACACUGCACAGUGGCCCUUGAGAUGUUCUCAUCCCAAAGCACAUGGCAUGGACUGAGGUCAUGUGUGGCGACUCUGGAGACUGUACGGAACGACUAUGUCACCAAGGUGGGGCUCAAGUAAGGUGCUUACACUUAGAACAGACAUAUAUGACAAUUUACAAGGAAUUUUGUGGCUGAAAACCUUAAAUAAAAAUUACAAUUAAGUGAUCAGCCAAAUAUUGGGAAAUCAGUCUUUUUAUAUUACUAACAUUAAG